Molecule: long non-coding RNA, 1397 nt
Organism: Carcharodon carcharias (great white shark)
Lineage: Eukaryota; Metazoa; Chordata; Chondrichthyes; Lamniformes; Lamnidae
Exons: 2
Source: RefSeq, a predicted model, not a curated record
UUCCCCGAACUGAAAAUCUCCACAUCGAUUUUUUAAAAAAUGUGCCCUAAGCUGAACGUUUCGCAGUCACUCGAAACUUCAACCCUAUUUAGAAACUUUUAUCUGUUUUGCCAUGGGAACUUUAAAUACACGCGAGCAUCGUGUUCUUUCGUCUGCUAAAAAUUGACCCUGGACCCAUGCAGACUAUUAGCUCCCAGUGUCUGAUUUGUAACCUUCAAUUAUGCCCACCUUUAUGGAUCUGGCCUUAAACAUCAAAACUGUAAUGAUUAUUUAAACCACUGUUCUAACCUCUAACCUCAAGUAACUGAUCUAAAAAUAAGGAGGGGGGCAAUUGGACGGUGUGAAACGCACUGGCGGCUAAAGGGUUAAAGCAUUAUAUGUUGACGAAGUUCCCAUGGAAAAAAAAAUUACCUGGUUUUAACUUAACGACCACAAAGUUGGGAUUCGUGAGGCAGUUAGGAUAUAGGAGCGAAUAGAUUUGGGUUUGUGGGGUGUGGUUCUAAAAUGCCUUCAGUUUGUAAGUGCUUAUAUCCGCGCCACUCUGUCUAUGUGUUUUAUUCCCCCCUUUCUCUUACUAGUUGUACUUGUUCGAAUAUCUGCUUCUCACUCAUUUCACAUUGAUACAAAAAGCUCAGCCUCCGCAAUGCAACCAUUGGCUCCGUGACAGCCCCAAGCUGCCCUGCCCUGACAUGUCGCUAACUCCUGUUUGGUUAAUUAAGUUUUCAAUCACUAGACAGUGGGUAAUAAUAAAUCAGAUUGAUAAUUGAUCGGAGCCCGUCAUUUAUUGUUGCAGGAAUAGGCGGGGCCCUGAGAUCUUUUUUUAAGGAUGUACAACUUAUGAGAUGUUGUGGUUUCUGUAACGAAAUUUAAGUGGGCUCCCCGGAGAUCUGGAAAAGUCCUGAUUCUUGAGAUGUCUCUUUUUAAUUCCUGUAAUUAUUCCAACAUUAAUGGUGAAAGGGAGCAGUAUCAGAUGGCCAAUCUUAUGGAGUGUGACGACAUCAGACAAACUCUCAGCUCCAGUCCCUGUGGUGAGAGACUGGAGCAUCUACAGGAGAAACACUUUGGUGUCACAAGGAAACAGAAAUGGCUCCAAAAUGGCUGCAGUUCUCUUUGAAGCCAAAGGUGGUCCUCGCCUGGCACUCGUAAGAUUACUCUUCGCCCCCUACAGUUCCUAUGAUGUUAUCUUACAUGUCCUACUGUGUGCUACAUUAUCAUUUUAUAACAGUUGUUGAGAAAGCCUUCUGCUACUUGGAACUGUAGUCCUGAGAUUCUGUCAAACAUUUUAAAAGCACACUGUAUUAAUCAGAUCAUUAGCAUGUGAGGAGCUGAGAAACUAUACUUUGAAACUUCAUUAGAUGCUAUGACAUGUUUAUAAAUGGUCUUUUUUUAAAAGUGAA